This is a long non-coding RNA of Maniola jurtina (meadow brown), 144 nucleotides long. RefSeq lists it as uncharacterized. The transcript has 3 exons. The record is from RefSeq and is a predicted model, not a curated record. NCBI's taxonomy places the organism in Eukaryota, Metazoa, Arthropoda, Insecta, Lepidoptera, Nymphalidae.
GAGGUCAGGGUUCGGUCCCGGGCACGCAUUUCUAUUUUUUCGGAAUUAUGUGCGUUUUAAGCAAUUAAACAUUACUAGCUGUAACGGUGAAGGAGAACAUUGUGAGGAAACCUGCAUGCCUGAGAAUUCCCAUAAUGUUCUCAA